AUCGAACUCGGAGAUAGCUGGUUCUCCUCGAAAUAGCUUUAGGGCUAGCCUUGAGAAAAUAGCAUGUGGGGGUAGAGCACUGAAGGAGCUAGGGGCCUAACCAGGUUACCGAACUCUAUCAAACUCCGAAUACCAUAUGUGUAAGCUCAGGAGUCAGACUGCGGGAGCUAAGUUCCGUGGUCAAAAGGGAAAGAGCCCAGAUCGUCAAUUAAGGUCCCAAAGAUAUAGCUAAGUGGAAAACGAUGUGAUUUUGCGUAAACAACCAGGAUGUUGGCUUAGAAGCAGCCAUUCAUUCAAAGAGUGCGUAAUAGCUCACUGGUCGAGUGAAGUUGCGCGGAAAAUUACCGGGGCUAAGCUAUACACCGAAAUUGCGGGUUCGCACUUGAAAGAUAGUGUGAGCGGUAGAGGAGCAUUCUGUAGUAGGAAGAAGCAUGAUCGAAAGGACAUGUGGACGAGGCAGAAGAGAGAAUGCUGGAAUAAGUAGCGAGAGCAAGGUGAGAAUCCUUGCCGUCGAAAGUCUAAGGUUUCCUGGGGAAGGUUCGUCCGCCCAGGGUAAGUCGGGACCUAAGGUGAGGCCGAAAGGCGUAGCCGAUGGACAGCAGGUGGAAAUUCCUGCACUAUAGAUAUACUUAAAAGACACAAGGGACGCAGAAGUGGAAGGUAAGCGAGGAAGAGGAAAAACUCGUAUCGAAAGAUAUAGUGAAAAUAAAGUAACGAAUUGCCAAGAAGCACGCUGACGAGAAAAGCUUGUGGAGCUUGUAUAGAUGUACCCGUACCGCAAACCGACACAGGUAGAUGAGGAGAGGAUCCUAAGACGAGCGGGAGAAGCAUUGUUAAGGAACUCGGCAAAUUGACCCCGUAACUUCGGGAGAAGGGGUACCUAUGUAAAAGUAGGUCGCAGAGAAAAGGCCCAAGCAACUGUUUAACAAAAACACAGGUUUCUGCUAAAUCGAAAGAUGAAGUAUAGGAGCUGACGCCUGCCCAGUGCUGGAAGGUUAAGGGGAGAGGUUAGAACAAGAUUCGAAGCUUCGAACCAAAGCCCCAGUGAACGGCGGCCGUAACUAUAACGGUCCUAAGGUAGCGAAAUUCCUUGUCAGGUAAG
Molecule: ribosomal RNA, 1102 nt
Filed under: human gut metagenome
Description: bacterial LSU rRNA
Rfam family: Bacterial large subunit ribosomal RNA
Source: RNAcentral